Molecule: ribosomal RNA, 137 nt
Filed under: uncultured eukaryote
Lineage: Eukaryota
Description: partial 18S ribosomal RNA
Rfam family: Eukaryotic small subunit ribosomal RNA
Source: RNAcentral
UGGUGGAGCGAUUUGUCUGGUCAAUUCCGAUAACAAACGAGACUCUAGCCUACUAAAUAGUUCGGGGACCCCCACAAAGGGCCCCCACUUCAUAGAGGGACAGGUGGCGUUUAGCCACACGAGAUUGAGCAAUAACA